UGUCCUCCAUAGGAGGUCUAUAUUGAGCAGAUCCUUUUUGGUAUUGGGUGGUGGAACUGGAGCGUGCUCCAUCCACUCCAUGCAUUGACCUGGUAUUGCAGUGCUUCCAGGACCGGUGC
Molecule: small nuclear RNA, 119 nt
Organism: Crocodylus porosus (Australian saltwater crocodile)
Lineage: Eukaryota; Metazoa; Chordata; Crocodylia; Crocodylidae
Gene: U2
Rfam family: U2 spliceosomal RNA
About the family: U2 is a small nuclear RNA (snRNA) component of the spliceosome (involved in pre-mRNA splicing). Complementary binding between U2 snRNA (in an area lying towards the 5' end but 3' to hairpin I) and the branchpoint sequence (BPS) of the intron results the bulging out of an unpaired adenosine, on the BPS, which initiates a nucleophilic attack at the intronic 5' splice site, thus starting the first of two transesterification reactions that mediate splicing.
Source: Ensembl